Molecule: long non-coding RNA, 1648 nt
Organism: Brienomyrus brachyistius
Lineage: Eukaryota; Metazoa; Chordata; Actinopteri; Osteoglossiformes; Mormyridae
Exons: 6
Source: RefSeq, a predicted model, not a curated record
GCGUGAGUACUGCUCACUGCACCAUGUAAAUAAGACUGAGCUGUAAUGUAACUUUGCCUUCCUCAAAUGUACUGCGGAUGUUAUCAUGCGGAUUGGGGGCAGGUGUGACAACUAUACUAUACUAAAAUGAGUAAUUAGAUAAAUCAUCAGAAAUUAACAUCACCAGCUAUCAUAACCUCUCCCAAGCACUUCAAACAGAACCCUUUCUUUAACUUGCGCUGUCAGUCAGCUUGCAGUCCCAGCCAGUCAAGCUCUUACAGUGACUGCGAAGGUGCAGUUCAGGCUAGUUGUUAUGUCGCUGAGGAUGGCUUGUUCUACAAGGGUCUGCGCAUGAUGCAAUCCUCGUCUCUCCCGCUAGAUGGCGGUAAAAGCGCAGAGAGGCCGGCCAAUAGCAACAGGCAGUGGGUAAGACAGUGGAGCCAAGUCCUCUCUGACUCCGCCCAGUCCUCUCUGACUCCGCCCAGUCCUCUCUGACUCCGCCCAACACGGACACCUGAAGGGUGGCUGCAGCUGUCGUCCCCAGCAGUGCCACGUAGAGGGCGGGGUGCCCUAAACGAGGGUGCUCACGUUGUGAUAAGUGGCAGUUUGUCAGGCCCCAGCGAGCUCUCCAUAUUCCCCGGACCGCCACAUAGUUCAACGGGCUCAAAGACUGAGAACCUACUGGCUGCACACUGGAGGCUGGCUUGGAACCAGCCUCACCUGUUUUGAUCAAAUUUUGGGUUUUUGUUGUUCCUAGUGUGUUCCUGGUUAUUUUGCUCCCCUGUUUGGUUUGCCCUGCUUGUGUCCUGUUUGGUUUUUAUCUAAUGCACUCAGCCCUCUGUAUUAUGCCUCCUAGUUUCUAUUUUUGGGGUAUUUCUUAGUUUCAUGCUCAUGUAAUUGUAAUCUGCCUCACCUGUUCCUUUUUGCUUUGUUAAUUUGAUUAUGGUUUUCACCUGUUCCUUGUUUGCUGUGAUGUUCCUGUAUAUUUAAGUGCCUGUCUGUGUUUUCCUUGGUGAGUCAUUGCGGUAUGUUACUGUGUGUUAUGCUGCCUGUUCCCAUCAGUGUAUUGACUUUGUGGUUUCUUUUGGUUAAUUCUGGUUUUUCCUGAUUCGUUCUGACCCCUCCUGGUCCUUUUAUGUUGUGGUCUCCCCAUUGUUCUGUUUAUUAAGAAACCCCUUUGUCUCAGAGCUGUUCAGUGGAUCAUCGCCCUCUUUUCCUUGCCUUCAUCGUGCCGUGCUUUGACAACACGGUCUUCACGGUGACCAGAGCAGUGAGCAUACAUCAGUUUGGGCAAAACCUCAACAGGUUGCUGGUUAACUGCGUUGCCUGCAGGCCAAUCACGAGCCACAUUUGACACUUCAUGAGAACCAGGUCAGCUCAAUGUACCACCUGCUGAGCCCCAAGAAAUUCAUGGAAAACAACACUGGAGUUUGUUGACUAUUUCCUUUCCUGGCAAUCCAUGUUCAGUUCUCUGUGUUGGGUAGGGAAACUAGAAGAAACAGCAAAUCCAAGAAAACACAGAAGUGAUCUGACAAAGCAAGAUUCCAAACAUCACCAGCAGGAAUAUUGAGUCCAUUGUUGAUAACCAAGUCAAGCAUACGGCCUUGAAAAUUAGUGGGACAAUUUACAUGCUGUGAUAAAUUAAACAGGCAAGAUAUUCUUCAGCAAA